Molecule: long non-coding RNA, 2529 nt
Organism: Gallus gallus (chicken)
Lineage: Eukaryota; Metazoa; Chordata; Aves; Galliformes; Phasianidae
Source: Ensembl
ACAUUGUGUCUGAUAUGGAAGUGCAGAUGAACCAAAGGUGCGUUACUGAAUUCCUCCAUGAGGCAAAAAUGGCACCCACUGACCUUCAUCGAUGCUUGCUGAACAUUCAUGGAGACCAAAGACUGGAUGUGAACCCAGCAAAGAGGAAACAAAACACCUAUAUUUUUAAUGUAGUUACAAUUAAAAUGCACUGAAAAUUACAAGAAGCAAAAUGUCAUCUGCAGAAUAAGCGAGGUCUGAAGGAUUUUAAAACAUGCUACUUAAAUAUAUCAAGAAUAGUACCUGACAGCAAUUCUGGCAAUGACGUGGGCUUUUUUUUGACAUGAAGACACACAGAGACCCCCAGAACGUCUUGCAAACAGCAUGAAGGGCCCGAGAAGUGCCUGUAGGCAAAAAAGCUUUUUGGUCAAUAUUUGUUCCUAUCCUACUAAUUCCUAAGGUGCAUCACAGGAUUAGUAUUAGGCAUUCUAAUCCCAAAGUCUUCUUUCAAAAUCUUUCUUGCAGUGAUCAGAUGCUCUUUUACCAAGUAUCUCUAUCUCACAAUGUAGAAUCAUUUUUGUCAUUUAUACUCUACUUCUGUAAUAAAUCUAUGGCAUUUGAGUACUCAGUUUACUUUCUCUAAAUCACCUGGGUUUUUUUUUACAUCCUGAUCCAAAUUUCACUGAAGUCGAUGGUAAUAAUUCUGUCAGGCACUGGAGCAAUCCCCUUGAGCUGAGAUUACAUGCUUACUGAUACAUAGAAGCUACUAGAGACAUUCAGACUUAUAUCAAUAUGGAUUUGUAUGCCAAACGCUUUAUGACUGCAUUUAAAUUACUAAUACUUAGAUCAUAGAAAUACAGAAACAACAGAAGAAAUAAUUGCUUUUUUGAUAAGGCAUUCCCAACAGAAUCUAAGACAUUUUUGUCUAUGGUUAAGAACUUCCAACUGAAAGUGCCUCCUAACUUUUACUUAUCAAUUUCAAAUAGUUACUGAAGUUUUCAGUUAAAAUCUGUUCCACCCAUUAGUGUGACCACUGAAAUCUGUCGGAUUAGCCUGAUUAGCAAAUAGUUAUCCAUACAAAGACCCAAACAACUGAAAGCAGAGACUAGUUCCUAAAUAGUGGUAAUGGACACCAAAAUACAGAAAUAAUAUUUGGUUUAAAUAGUUUUAAUUAUUUUUGGAAUUAAUGGAAUAUUUGUAUGUAAGUAGUAAAGACUGAAACAAACAAUAAGGUGAUAAACAAAUCAGAAAAAACUCUGUUCUGUUCUUUUCUGUUCUUGAAGUGAAGGGUGUAUGUUUUUUCAACCAACUUGUUCUAAAACAUACGAGAAUUCUACAGUCAGCUUCAGACCAGUGUUAUGGCACUCUGCUAGGCAGUCGUUAUGAAUGUGCAUUAGCAAAUGAAAAAAAAUAUAUAAAUCAAUGUACUUCUGCGAAUUUUGAGAUCACUCAGGUGUCAUAAUUUGUGGCGAUAAAAGAUUGCCCUACUGCAAAUAGACAGUAUUUCAGGCCAGAAGUAAUGAAUUUCUGAACCUUGUCAUCAAAUGUGCAUGGUUACUAAUUUCACAGUUAUAAAUAUAGAGCAUCUUUCACGAUAUCGAAUUAUUAUAGAGUUUAUAGUGAAACAUAAUUUUUAUAAACUCCUAAACACUCUAAAUGCCACAUUUCCUACUCAGUCCUCAAAGGAAUGUGAUAUUCUAUUGUGAUAUCUUUCUAUCUGUGAUACUUUCCCCACAUAAAUUAUAAACUCUGUUUAAAAAUUCCUGGUAGCAGUUGAGGUGCUUGUAAAGCCAGCUAUCAGGUGAAGCUGGUGAGAACAGUGACUUAAAAGGGGACAAAAUCAGAGUCAUAUUAAUUUCUGUUUUCAUUUUACCAACAGAUAUUAUUUUAAGUUCUCUGGCUUACAAAUAAUGAAAUGAUACGUUUUCCAUUUUUCUGUAGCCAGAUGAUUAAAUUUAAAAGAGCAAAUUAUAUUUCUCGUAGAUCAUUUAUAAAUUAGAUCACAGAAUCCUGAAAAUGACUGAACAGUGGUAUGCAGGUGGUUGACCACUGAGAAGCUUACACAUUUUUUUGGUAGUAAGAGUGGCUUCUACAAUAAGGAUUACUAUUUUGAUUCUCCUGUUUGCUCGCGCAUUUUGUCUUGUGUUUGCUUUUUAAGAUAUCAGUGAGUAAGUGCAUACAUUAUUUUUCCUAAAGGAAAGGAACAGGGAGCAAGUAAAACAAUAUGGAUGCUUAAAGAGAUACUGGGUAAAUUUCAAGAAAGAAUAAAUCUUAAACCACUGCACAAGACAAUUCUCAUUUAUUCUGAUAGCUUUAGAAGCGUGAACAGGCACUAAGAGAUGCCUCUUUGGUCACUGCCUGUCAAUGACUGACCACAGACAUACGUUUCAUUUCUGGUGUGAAACAAAACAUGUUGAUUUAAAACACAUUUCAAACGUCUUAUAUAAAAAGCCAAGAAAGUACAGACUUUAAUAGUUAUUUUCUGUAACUACUGUAUAGAAGAUCUGUAAAUUGUUCUGGCAAGGGUUCCAUUAAAAAGUUAUUUAAAUC